CGCAAGCCUGACCCAGCAACACCGUGUGGGCGAUGAAGGCCUUCGGGUCGUAAAGCCCUGUUGAUAGGGACGAAGGGCGAAGGGUUAAUAGCCCCUAGCCUGACGGUACCUUUCGAGGAAGCCCCGGCUAACUACGUGCCAGCAGCCGCGGUAAUACGUAGGGGGCGAGCGUUGUCCGGAAUUAUUGGGCGUAAAGAGCGUGUAGGCUGUUCGGUAAGUCUGCCGUGAAAACCUGAGGCUCAACCUCGGGCGUGCGGUGGAUACUGCCGGGCUAGAGGACGGUAGAGGCGAGUGGAAUUCCCGGUGUAGCGGUGAAAUGCGCAGAUAUCGGGAGGAACACCAGUAGCGAAGGCGGCUCGCUGGGCCGUUCCUGACGCUGAGACGCGAAAGCUAGGGGAGCGAACAGGAUUAGAUACCCUGGUAGUCCUAGCCGUAAACGAUGGACACUAGGUGUGGGGGGAGUCGAAUCCCUCUGUGCCGCAGCUAACGCGUUAAGUGUCCCGCCUGGGGAGUACGGCCGCAAGGCUA
This 528-nucleotide ribosomal RNA is filed under the name uncultured Actinomycetes bacterium. Its description in RNAcentral is "bacterial SSU rRNA". It matches the Rfam family "Bacterial small subunit ribosomal RNA", at positions 376 to 896 of the family's 1533-position model. Lineage: Bacteria; Bacillati; Actinomycetota; Actinomycetes. The record is from RNAcentral.